CUUCAGGAACUGCGGUCGCUAAGCUCCGACUUGGCCGCAUACCAACCCCACGCUCUCUGGGUGGUUCGGAUGACGAAGCGGCCUGCAUUCGCCGUUGGCAGAUGGUGCGGGCAAGAGCACGCG
Molecule: non-coding RNA, 123 nt
Filed under: Crystallibacter crystallopoietes
Lineage: Bacteria; Bacillati; Actinomycetota; Actinomycetes; Micrococcales; Micrococcaceae
Description: Arthrobacter crystallopoietes SAM-IV sequence
Rfam family: SAM (S-adenosyl methionine) riboswitch aptamer
About the family: SAM-IV is a mRNA element that regulates gene expression via direct sensing of S-adenosylmethionine (SAM or AdoMet).
Source: Rfam by way of RNAcentral